GACGAACGCUGGCGGCGUGCUUAACACAUGCAAGUCGAACGGAAAGACCCUGAUUUUGUGCGCUGCUGGAGUGCCGAACGGGGGCGUGACACGUGAGCAACCUGCUCUUGAUUUUGGGAGAGCAUCAGGAAACUGGGGUUACUACCAGAUAGGAGACCCUGCAGCAGGGAGGGGAUUGGAAAUUUUCGGCGGUCGGGGAUGGACUGGCGGCUUAUCAGCUUGUUGGUGGGGUAGUGGCUUACCAAGGCGUGGACGGGUAGCCGGCCUGAGAGGGUGACCGGCCACAUUGGGACUUAGGUGCGGCCGAGACGGCUACGGGUGGAAGCAGUGGGGAAUAUUGCACCAUGGGCGGAGGCCUGAUGCAGCAACGCCGCGUGCGGGAUGGCGGCCUUCGGGGUAUAAACCGCUUUCGCCUGUAACGAACCGUGAGUGACGGUAAUGGAUAAAGAAGAAACGGCUAACUACGUG
Molecule: ribosomal RNA, 468 nt
Filed under: uncultured bacterium
Lineage: Bacteria
Description: partial 16S ribosomal RNA
Rfam family: Bacterial small subunit ribosomal RNA
Source: RNAcentral